GACGAACGCUGGCGGCGUGCUUAACACAUGCAAGUCGAGCGGUAAGGCCCUUUCGGGGGUACACGAGCGGCGAACGGGUGAGUAACACGUGGGUGACCUGCCCUCAGCUCUGGGAUAAGCCUGGGAAACCGGGUCUAAUACCGGAUAUGACUCCAUGACGCAUGUUGUGGGGUGGAAAGCCUUGUGCGGCUGAGGAUGGGCCCGCGGCCUAUCAGCUUGUUGGUGGGGUGAUGGCCUACCAAGGCGACGACGGGUAGCCGGCCUGAGAGGGCGACCGGCCACACUGGGACUGAGACACGGCCCAGACUCCUACGGGAGGCAGCAGUGGGGAAUCUUGCGCAAUGGGCGAAAGCCUGACGCAGCGACGCCGCGUGGGGAAGAAGGCCUUAGGGUGUAACCUCUUCAGGUGGGACGAAGCCACUCGGGUGAAUAGCCCCAGAGGGUGACGGUACCGCCAGAAGAAGCCCGGCUAACUACGUGCCAGCCGCCGCGGU
Molecule: ribosomal RNA, 494 nt
Filed under: uncultured bacterium
Lineage: Bacteria
Description: bacterial SSU rRNA
Rfam family: Bacterial small subunit ribosomal RNA
Source: RNAcentral